UACGUAGGUGGCAAGCGUUGUCCGGAUUUAUUGGGUUUAAAGGGUGCGUAGGCGGCGAUCUAAGUCAGUGCUGAAAUAUCCCGGCUUAACCGGGAGGGUGGCAUUGAUACUGGGUUGCUUGAGUAAAGUUGAGGUAGGCGGAAUUGACGGUGUAGCGGUGAAAUGCUUAGAUAUCGUCAAGAACACCAAUAGUGAAGACAGCUUACUAAACUUUAACCGACGCUGAGGCACGAAAGUGUGGGGAUCAAACAGG
RNAcentral lists this ribosomal RNA (253 nucleotides) under uncultured bacterium. RNAcentral describes it as "partial 16S ribosomal RNA". It matches the Rfam family "Bacterial small subunit ribosomal RNA", at positions 524 to 776 of the family's 1533-position model. The record is from RNAcentral.